RNAcentral lists this ribosomal RNA (433 nucleotides) under uncultured bacterium. RNAcentral's name for it is "partial 16S ribosomal RNA". It matches the Rfam family "Bacterial small subunit ribosomal RNA", at positions 29 to 507 of the family's 1533-position model. The record is from RNAcentral.
AACGAACGCUGGCGGCAUGCCUAACACAUGCAAGUCGAACGAAGGCUUCGGCCUUAGUGGCGCACGGGUGCGUAACGCGUGGGAAUCUGCCCUUUGGUUCGGAAUAACAGCUGGAAACGGCUGCUAAUACCGGAUGAUGACGAAAGUCCAAAGAUUUAUCGCCAGAGGAUGAGCCCGCGUUGGAUUAGGUAGUUGGUGGGGUAAAGGCCUACCAAGCCGACGAUCCAUAGCUGGUCUGAGAGGAUGAUCAGCCACACUGGGACUGAGACACGGCCCAGACUCCUACGGGAGGCAGCAGUGGGGAAUAUUGGACAAUGGGCGCAAGCCUGAUACAGCAAUGCCGCGUGAGUGAUGAAGGCCCUAGGGUUGUAAAGCUCUUUUACCCGGGAAGAUAAUGACUGUACCGGGAGAAUAAGCCCCGGCUAACUCCGUG